This 437-nucleotide ribosomal RNA is filed under the name uncultured microorganism. RNAcentral's name for it is "bacterial SSU rRNA". It matches the Rfam family "Bacterial small subunit ribosomal RNA", at positions 346 to 777 of the family's 1533-position model. The record is from RNAcentral.
GUGCAGCAGUCGAGAAUAGUCUACAAUGGACGAAAGUCUGAUAGUGCGACGCCGUGUGUGCGAUUAAUUCCUUCGGGAUGUAAAGCACUUUUCUAUGAGAUAAAAGCUCUUUAGGUUAAUAGCUUAUUGAGACGGAUAUUAUUAUAGGAAUAAGCUCCGGCUAACUCCGUGCCAGCAGCCGCGGUAAUACGGAAGGAGCGAGCGUUGUCCGGAUUUACUAGGCGUAAAGGGCUAGUAGGCGACUAAUUAAGUUAUAUGUUAAAUCCCACGGCUCAACUGUGGUCCUGCAUGUAAUACUGGUUAGAUAGAGUACUGUAGAGGAAGGCAGAAUUCCUGGAGUAGCGGUGGAAUGCGCAGAUAUCAGGAAGAAUACCAAAAGCGAAGGCAGCUCUGGCAGUACUGACGCUGAAUAGCGAAGGUGUGGGUAGCGAACAGGA